This 252-nucleotide ribosomal RNA is filed under the name uncultured bacterium. RNAcentral's name for it is "partial 16S ribosomal RNA". It matches the Rfam family "Bacterial small subunit ribosomal RNA", at positions 524 to 776 of the family's 1533-position model. The record is from RNAcentral.
UACGUAGGUCCCGAGCGUUAUCCGGACUUAUUGGGCGUAAAGCGAGCGCAGGCGGUUGGAUAAGUCUGAAGUUAAAGGCUGUGGCUUAACCAUAGUAUGCUUUGGAAACUGCUCAACUUGAGUGCAGAAGGGGAGAGUGGAAUUCCAUGUGUAGCGGUGGAAUGCGUAGAUAUAUGGAGGAACACCGGUGGCGAAAGCGGCUCUCUGGUCUGUAACUGACGCUGAGGCUCGAAAGCGUGGGUAGCGAACAGG